Molecule: ribosomal RNA, 544 nt
Filed under: uncultured bacterium
Lineage: Bacteria
Description: bacterial SSU rRNA
Rfam family: Bacterial small subunit ribosomal RNA
Source: RNAcentral
AAAGCGUGGGGAGCGAACAGGAUUAGAUACCCUGGUAGUCCACGCCGUAAACGGUGGGUACUAGGUGUGGUUUCCUUCCUUGGGAUCCGUGCCGUAGCUAACGCAUUAAGUACCCCGCCUGGGGAGUACGGCCGCAAGGCUAAAACUUAAAGGAAUUGACGGGGGCCCGCACAAGCGGCGGAGCAUGUGGAUUAAUUCGAUGCAACGCGAAGAACCUUACCUGGGUUUGACAUGCACAGGACGCGUCUAGAGAUAGGCGUUCCCUUGUGGCCUGUGUGCAGGUGGUGCAUGGCUGUCGUCAGCUCGUGUCGUGAGAUGUUGGGUUAAGUCCCGCAACGAGCGCAACCCUUGUCUCAUGUUGCCAGCGGGUAAUGCCGGGGACUCGUGAGAAACUGCCGGGGUCAACUCGGAGGAAGGUGGGGAUGACGUCAAGUCAUCAUGCCCCUUAUGUCCAGGGCUUCACACAUGCUACAAUGGCCGGUACAAAGGGCUGCGAUGCCGCAAGGUUAAGCGAAUCCUUUUAAAGCCGGUCUCAGUUCGGAUC